RNAcentral lists this long non-coding RNA (641 nucleotides) under Pan troglodytes (chimpanzee). Its description in RNAcentral is "long non-coding RNA NONPTRT004238". Lineage: Eukaryota; Metazoa; Chordata; Mammalia; Primates; Hominidae. The record is from RNAcentral.
UCGAGGGAGGCACCCUGUAGCCAUCAGGUUUUCUUUUCCAAACCUCUUCAACCUCUCCAGACAUCCUGGAAUGAGUCCCUGAGAGCCAGCUAGUAACUAGACGGGGGAAAAUGUCUAAAAGUGGGAGAAACUGUCUUCAUAUCAACAACAAUAGCUUAAGAAACUACAAUGGUGGAUCUAAUCAAUCCUACUUCAUAUGAAGAUCAAAACCUACUUCAGGAUUCAUUUUAGAAAGUACAUAUUGAAAAACUAUAUUGAAAAAUGACCCAUUGGAAUCUAGAUUGACAUGGCAACAUUUGAAACAAGUGGCCUAGCUAACACAGUCGACCAUGCAGAAGGAGUUGCAACAUUUAUAGAAAUACCGAAGGAAUUCUUGUGAACAGUAAUUGCCGAAAGGAAAGAAAGAAUGGAUAAGAAUGGGUUCACGGUUUCAGUGUCGGUGACAUUACUGAGUUCAUGUUAGCAAAUGAGGUCCCUUCCAAACACAAUUAUGUAAACUGUUUGUAUUGGAUUGAAAGGGGUCAUAUUCUCUUACAUACAUGCAGCAUUAAAAAAUCUACCAUCAUGUAAAAAAAAAUAGUCUGGAAAAAGUAAGUCUUUCUCAAUUUUCCUCAAUCACUCAAAUUUAUUUUAAAGUCCAG